Molecule: ribosomal RNA, 751 nt
Filed under: Cardioglossa congolia (Congolian long-fingered frog)
Lineage: Eukaryota; Metazoa; Chordata; Amphibia; Anura; Arthroleptidae
Description: partial 16S ribosomal RNA
Rfam family: Bacterial large subunit ribosomal RNA
Source: RNAcentral
UUUAUCUAUUAAUCUCAUUAAUUAUACAAAACCCUUCCAUUGUAUUGAGCACUUUUAUACUAUAUAAAAGAUAUUAUGCUAGAACUAGUAACAAGAAUUUAUCUCCGAAAUGUAAGUAUACCUCAAACACGAAUAUUACUAUAUUUAGUAGUAACCUUCCCCAAGAAACCUCUACUAACCACCAAUAUUAAACUUACACAAGAACACUUCCGGAAAGAUUAAAACAAAAAGAAGGAACUCGGCAAAUUUUAGUCUCGCCUGUUUACCAAAAACAUCACCUCUUGAUUAAAUAUAAGAGGCCCCGCCUGCCCACUGAUCACUUUAACGGCCGCGGUACCCUAACCGUGCGAAGGUAGCACAAUCACUUGUUCUCUAAAUAAGGACCAGUAUGAAUGGCAUCACGAAGACUAUACUGUCUCCUUUCUACAAUCAGUGAAACUGAUCUCCCCGUGAAAAAGCGGGAAUCAUAUUAUAAGACGAGAAGACCCCAUGGAACUUUAAGAAAAUAAUUAACUAUUAUACUAAUACCAUAAAAACUUAACAGACCUAAUUAUUAACUUUCGGUUGGGGUGACCGCGGAGCAAAAUAAAACCUCCGCAAUGAAAGAGCUUAGCCCUAAUUUAAGAAUUACAAUUCAAAAAAUCACCAUAUUGACAUUUAUUGACCCAAACCCUUGAUCAAUGAACCAAGUUACCCUGGGGAUAACAGCGCAAUCCAUUUUAAGAGUCCCUAUCAACAAAUGGGUUUACGA